UCAGUGUCAGGUGUGACAUCAGAUCCUGA
This 29-nucleotide non-coding RNA is filed under the name Mus musculus (house mouse). The record is from RNAcentral. Lineage: Eukaryota; Metazoa; Chordata; Mammalia; Rodentia; Muridae. RNAcentral also lists the same sequence under 1 other name.